UGAACGCUAGCGGCAGGCCUUAUACAUGCAAGUCGAACGGUAACAUUGGUGCUUGCACCAGAUGACGAGUGGCGCACGGGUGCGUAACGCGUAUGCAACCUACCUUUUACUAGAGUAUAGCCCAGAGAAAUUUGGAUUAAUCCUCUAUAAUAUCAUUUGAUUUCAUGAUUAAUUGAUUAAAGUUUUAACGGUAAAAGAUGGGCAUGCGUCCUAUUAGUUUGUAGGUGAGGUAACGGCUCACCUAGACUACGAUAGGUAGGGGCCCUGAGAGGGGGAUCCCCCACACUGGUACUGAGACACGGACCAGACUCCUACGGGAGGCAGCAGUAAGGAAUAUUGGACAAUGGACGAAAGUCUGAUCCAGCCAUGCCGCGUGCAGGAUGAAAGCCCUAUGGGUUGUAAACUGCUUUUAUACAGGAAGAAACACUCCGACGUGUCGGAGCUUGACGGUACUGUAAGAAUAAGGAUCGG
This 471-nucleotide ribosomal RNA is filed under the name uncultured Flavobacteriaceae bacterium. Its description in RNAcentral is "bacterial SSU rRNA". It matches the Rfam family "Bacterial small subunit ribosomal RNA", at positions 30 to 496 of the family's 1533-position model. Lineage: Bacteria; Pseudomonadati; Bacteroidota; Flavobacteriia; Flavobacteriales; Flavobacteriaceae. The record is from RNAcentral.